UUGAAANNAGCANCUNCGGUGUUCGAGNNGUAAUUUGAAGAUGGUAACCUNGGGUUUGGCUCUNGUCUAUGUUCCUUGGAACAGGACGUCAUAGAGGGUGAGAAUCCCGUCUGAUGAGAUGCCCAUUCCUAUGUAAGGUGCUAUCGAAGAGUCCAAGUUGUUUGGGAAUGCAGCUCUAAGUGGGUGGUAAAUUCCAUCUAAAGCUAAAUAUUGGCGAGAGACCGAUAGCGAACAAGUACAGUGAUGGAAAGAUGAAAAGAACUUUGAAAAGAGAGUGAAAAAGUACGUGAAAUUGUUGAAAGGGAAGGGCAUUAGAUCAGACUUGGUGUUUUACGAUUAUCUUCUCUUCUUGAGUUGUGCACUCGUAUUUCACUGGGCCAGCAUCGAUUCGGAUGGCAAGAUAAUGGCAGUUGAAUGUGGCUUCACUUCGGUGGAGUGUUAUAGCUUCUGCUGAUAUUGCCUGUCUGGAUCGAGGGCUGCGUCUUUUGACUAGGAUGCUGGCGUAAUGAUCUAAUGCCGCCC
This 522-nucleotide ribosomal RNA is filed under the name Hansenula anomala. Its description in RNAcentral is "Wickerhamomyces anomalus partial large subunit ribosomal RNA". It matches the Rfam family "Eukaryotic large subunit ribosomal RNA", at positions 116 to 650 of the family's 3401-position model. Lineage: Eukaryota; Fungi; Ascomycota; Saccharomycetes; Phaffomycetales; Wickerhamomycetaceae. The record is from RNAcentral.